RNAcentral lists this ribosomal RNA (447 nucleotides) under uncultured bacterium. RNAcentral describes it as "bacterial SSU rRNA". It matches the Rfam family "Bacterial small subunit ribosomal RNA", at positions 355 to 825 of the family's 1533-position model. The record is from RNAcentral.
UCGGGAAUUUUGGGCAAUGGGCGAAAGCCUGACCCAGCAACGCCGCGUGAAGGAUGAAGUAUUUCGGUAUGUAAACUUCGAAAGAAUAGGAAGAAUAAAUGACGGUACUAUUUAUAAGGUCCGGCUAACUACGUGCCAGCAGCCGCGGUAAUACGUAGGGACCAAGCGUUGUUCGGAUUUACUGGGCGUAAAGGGCGCGUAGGCGGCAAUUCAAGUCAUCUGUGAAAUCUCCGGGCUUAACUCGGAACGGUCAGAUGAUACUGCUUUGCUAGAGUGCAGAAGGGGCAAUCGGAAUUCUUGGUGUAGCGGUGAAAUGCGUAGAUAUCAAGAGGAACACCUGAGGUGAAGACGGGUUGCUGGGCUGACACUGACGCUGAGGCGCGAAAGCCAGGGGAGCAAACAGGAUUAGAUACCCCUGUAGUCCCUGAGCGGGCUGGCAAGGCGCAU